Long non-coding RNA from Hippocampus zosterae (dwarf seahorse), 1137 nucleotides. RefSeq lists it as uncharacterized. The record is from RefSeq and is a predicted model, not a curated record. Lineage: Eukaryota; Metazoa; Chordata; Actinopteri; Syngnathiformes; Syngnathidae. The transcript has 3 exons.
AUAGUUGGCGCUAGCUUCAUUGCAAAUCCCUAACAGGCUUGCUUCCACAAAACUAAAAAUGUAGGGUUUAAUUUUCACCGUGUUGGGUAUUUGGAUGAAAACAUGUCACGGACAAAAAUAUUAAGACACCUGGAAACGGUUUUAUAUUGUGAAAAGAAUGUGGACUAUCUCAUUUAAGGAGAACUGCUUUGCGUCAUUGUGUGGAAAGUACCUUAAAAUGUGUGCGUAAAAUUUGCCACUAUAUAAAUACAACUGACUAUGACAUUUUAGUGUAUCUAUCUUUUUUGGAUCCAAGAAAGGAAUGGCGAUGAAAACGUAAUCUUUUUGGUCGGCGUCGUAAAUCUUAACAUAAAGCAACAGGUUAUCUGCGUCACGUCUUCUGUUCCUGAUCCGACGAACAGCUGACAGUGCUUAUGGUUGAUUUCCCAGCACCUCCACCAAUCCCUCGUCCCAUCUCGAAACUUUUCUCGCACGCUGUAAAUCUGACUAAUAAGGCCUCAGAGCGCCUGGCGGGCCUGCUUCGUUUCACCGUGAUUAAAUAAGCGCCGCCUCGCCCAGCCGACAAACAACCGGAUGGAAUCCAACUCGCUGCAGGGCUGAGCAAUGAAUGGAUUUUCUCACUAUAUUUCAUGACUUUUCCGACCCCCUCUCGUGACUUGUCUUCCAUGAAAAUGACGAGUGAUUUUAAUUCCUAUUCUAACAUGGCGUCCCGUUUGUGAUUUUUCUUUCUCUGUACUCAUUGCAAGGUCAGCGGCGGGCUACAAACUCUGGACCGGAGGCCGGUUCUGCUUUUCCUCGCCACCGCCGCCUCAUCUCGCAGGCUUCUCCUGCUUGAUACUUGGGGAAAAUGAAUGAUCCCCCCCCUCCCCCCCGAUGCUGUGAUGGCGCUCUGCGGGCCGUGGCUGGUGCAGUAAGAUGUGACCUACAAAAACGUCAGCGAAAGCCUCCCCCAACAUCUGAAGUUUAUUCGGGCCUGACCCCAGCGGAUGGCCCGAGAGAGGGAUUAGGACCUGAUUCGCCUAAUUAGCCCCACGACCCCUUCACCAAUGCUCCCCCCCAACCCUCCUCUGCACACCACCCGUGACUCGCUCACUUCAUUAGCGACGCCUGCCCUCGUCACAAAAAUGGGAAGAAUAG